AGUGAACGCUGGCGGUAGGCCUAACACAUGCAAGUCGAACGGCAGCACAGUAAGAGCUUGCUCUUACGGGUGGCGAGUGGUGGACGGGUGAGGAAUACAUCGGAAUCUACUUUUUCGUGGGGGAUAACGUAGGGAAACUUACGCUAAUACCGCAUACGACCUACGGGUGAAAGCAGGGGAUCUUCGGACCUUGCGCGAUUGAAUGAGCCGAUGUCGGAUUAGCUAGUUGGCGGGGUAAAGGCCCACCAAGGCGACGAUCCGUAGCUGGUCUGAGAGGAUGAUAAGCCACACUGGAACUGAGACACGGUCCAGACUCCUACGGGAGGCAGCAGUGGGGAAUAUUGGACAAUGGGCGCAAGCCUGAUCCAGCCAUACCGCGUGGGUGACGAAGGCCUUCGGGUUGUAAAGCCCUUUUGUUGGGAAAGAAAAGCAGCAGGUUAAUACCCCGCUGUUCUGACGGUACCCAAAGAAUAAGCACCGGCUAACUUCGUG
Molecule: ribosomal RNA, 492 nt
Filed under: uncultured bacterium
Lineage: Bacteria
Description: partial 16S ribosomal RNA
Rfam family: Bacterial small subunit ribosomal RNA
Source: RNAcentral